Molecule: ribosomal RNA, 306 nt
Filed under: uncultured bacterium
Lineage: Bacteria
Description: bacterial SSU rRNA
Rfam family: Bacterial small subunit ribosomal RNA
Source: RNAcentral
AAGGAAUUUUCCGCAAUGGGCGCAAGCCUGACGGAGCAACGCCGCGUGCGGGAUGACGCCUUUCGGGGUGUAAACCGCUGUUCGUGGGGACGAAGCACUGACGGUACCCACGGAGGAAGGCCCGGCUAACUACGUGCCAGCAGCCGCGGUAAUACGUAGGGGCCGAGCGUUGUCCGGAGUUACUGGGCGUAAAGCGUGCGCAGGCGGCGUAUCGCGCCCGGCGUGAAAGCCCCCGGCUCAACCGGGGAGGGUCGUCGGGGACGGGUACGCUUGAGGGCAGCAGGGGCUGGUUGAAUUCCCGGUGUA